AUUUUUUCCAGUUGUGUGCCAUGCAUUUAGGAGCCCAAAGUAAACGAUGGUUACACAGUGUCUCGUCUCAGUUUCCACACCUAUGAUCCUAACAGGUUUAUAAAAUGGAGCCAAGCAGUGGUGAAGAGCAGUUUUUGUGAAACCAAGGAUACCAAGGAUACAUCAAAAAUUUGAGUUAUUUUCAAAUAUGAGUUCCAUUGUUGAACCAAUGAAGCUCAAAAUAGCAAUGAAGUGUUUGGGAAGAAUGUGGCUAAUGCACACAUGGCACAU
Lemur catta (Ring-tailed lemur) is the source of this 270-nucleotide long non-coding RNA. RefSeq lists it as uncharacterized. NCBI's taxonomy places the organism in Eukaryota, Metazoa, Chordata, Mammalia, Primates, Lemuridae. The transcript has 3 exons. The record is from RefSeq and is a predicted model, not a curated record.